UACAGAGGUCUCAAGCGUUGUUCGGAUUCAUUGGGCGUAAAGGGUGCGUAGGCGGCGCGGUAAGUCGGGUGUGAAAUCUCGGAGCUUAACUCCGAAACUGCAUUCGAUACUGCCGUGCUUGAGGACUGGAGAGGAGACUGGAAUUUACGGUGUAGCGGUGAAACGCGUAGAUAUCGUAAGGAAGACCAGUGGCGAAGGCGGGUCUCUGGACAGUUCCUGACGCUGAGGCACGAAGGUCAGGGGAGCAAACGGA
RNAcentral lists this ribosomal RNA (253 nucleotides) under uncultured bacterium. RNAcentral describes it as "partial 16S ribosomal RNA". It matches the Rfam family "Bacterial small subunit ribosomal RNA", at positions 524 to 776 of the family's 1533-position model. The record is from RNAcentral.